GGGAAAAUAGAGGCUGAUGUU
RNAcentral lists this non-coding RNA (21 nucleotides) under Arabidopsis thaliana (thale cress). Lineage: Eukaryota; Viridiplantae; Streptophyta; Magnoliopsida; Brassicales; Brassicaceae. The record is from RNAcentral.